AUCUUGUAGUCUAAGAGUGGGUAAAGCCCAAGAAAAGGUCUAAAAGAAGCUAUAUAGCAUAGAACACUUGUGAUCAGCACAUGCCACAUGUGAGACAUGCCUUCAGCACAUGCCUGGACCCUUACAUGUGUGGGAAGACUCAACUGCACAUGUGGGAUGGUUUCCCAUGUGAAGUAGCACGCGGAGUGUGCGAGCAACAAUUCCUAUGCCCUCAACGCAUGUAAGCAUGCACAGAGACAACACGCCACAUGCACACUCCAUGUUUAUGUGCGUAGUAGGCUAGAAACAUGCCCAACACUCAACAUGUGCGCGAAGGCGACCCAUGUACUCGACAUGUGCAUCUCGUGCAGUAUACACACAUUACCUGUACGUGAAGAGCAAGCUGGCCACGUAGCAACCUUUUCGUAAGUCCUUUUAGACUCCACUUCUUACUUUUCCAAGUCUCUAAGGAUUCUAAGACUUCUACAAAUUAUCCCAUGUGAUUAAAGUGCCAAAUUAAAGGAUAAAUUCAACUCAAAUUGGAAGUCUUAGGAAGAUCAAGCUAUUUGAAGAUUUGGGUAAGGAGAAAAGAAUAUUUUAUUAA
Molecule: long non-coding RNA, 583 nt
Filed under: Carica papaya (papaya)
Lineage: Eukaryota; Viridiplantae; Streptophyta; Magnoliopsida; Brassicales; Caricaceae
Description: long non-coding RNA (CPAP_LNC010126)
Source: RNAcentral